Molecule: ribosomal RNA, 487 nt
Filed under: uncultured bacterium
Lineage: Bacteria
Description: bacterial SSU rRNA
Rfam family: Bacterial small subunit ribosomal RNA
Source: RNAcentral
UAGCUUGCUAAGAGGUGGACAGCGGCGGAAGGGAGAGUAACGCGUGGUUACGUGCCCUCGAGACCGGGAUAGUGUUGGGAAACUGGCAGUAAUACCGGAUAACAUCUUUGGAUCAAAUGGUGUGAUUCCGCUCGAGGAUCGGACCGCGUACUAUUAGCUUGUUGGCGGGGUAACGGCCCACCAAGGCUGCGAUGGUUACCGGGUGUGAGAGCAUGGCCCGGCUCACUGGGACUGAGACACUGCCCAGACAUCUACGGAUGGCUGCAGUCGAGAAUCUUCGGCAAUGGACGAAAGUCUGACCGAGCGACGCCGCGUGCGGGAUGAAGGCCCUCGGGUUGUAAACCGCUGUCAGUUAGGAGGAAAUGCAUGAGGGUUCUCUCUCAUGCUUGACCGAUUUUCAGAGGAAGGACGGGCUAAGUUCGUGCCAGCAGCCGCGGUAAGACGAACCGUCCAAACGUUAUUCGGUAUCACUGGGCUUAAAGCGUGC